Molecule: ribosomal RNA, 414 nt
Filed under: Triticum aestivum (bread wheat)
Lineage: Eukaryota; Viridiplantae; Streptophyta; Magnoliopsida; Poales; Poaceae
Description: partial small subunit ribosomal RNA
Source: RNAcentral
GAUGAGGACAUCCCAGGUUCACCUCAUUUAUCAUCUUCUCCUGAUGAUAAAUCUCAGCCAUCAAGUGAAGCUUCUACAAAGAAGAUCUAUUUGGGUCCCAUGACAAGGAGCCGUGCCAAACAAAUAGCACAAGGGGUGAACGCGCUCCUAGCUUAUCAUAAUUCAAAUGACCAUGAGAACUUUAUACUGCCUAAAUCUCGUGUGCUGAUUUUACUUAGGUACAAUGUCGAGGACAACCAACAACAUUCAGCACAUCUAUUGUUGCAUGUGCAGUUCCAGAAUUCGUCCCAGAACUUGCUGAAUCAUGCAACGCAAAUAUAUGAGAAUCCAGGAUGUGUGGGAGUACAAAAUGGAGAGCAUAUGAAGUCUACUUUCAGGAAAAUCAAACGGUGCAUCAUUUGGAGUCCUGAGUGA